Molecule: ribosomal RNA, 465 nt
Filed under: uncultured bacterium
Lineage: Bacteria
Description: partial 16S ribosomal RNA
Rfam family: Bacterial small subunit ribosomal RNA
Source: RNAcentral
CCUACGGGAUGCCGCAGUAGGGAAUCUUCCACAAUGGGCGAAAGCCUGAUGGAGCAACGCCGCGUGGGUGAAGAAGGUCUUCGGAUCGUAAAACCCUGUUGUUAGAGACGAAAGUGCGUGCGAGUAACUGUUCACGUUUCGACGGUAUCUACCCAGAAAGCCACGGCUAACUACGUGCCAGCAGCCGCGGUAAUACGUAGGUGGCAAGCGUUAUCCGGAUUUAUUGGGCGGAAAGGGAACGCAGGCGGUCUUUUAAGUCUGAUGUGAAAGCCUUCGGCUUAACCGGAGUAGUGCAUUGGAAACUGGGAGACUUGAGUGCAGAAGAGGAGAGGGGAACUCCAUGUGUAGCGGUGAAAUGCGUAGAUAUAGGGAAGAACACCAGUGGCGAAAGCGGCUCGCUGGUCUGUAACUGACGCUGAGGUGCGAAAGCGUGGGUAGCAAACAGGAUUAGAUACCCCGGUAGUC